Molecule: ribosomal RNA, 499 nt
Filed under: uncultured bacterium
Lineage: Bacteria
Description: partial 16S ribosomal RNA
Rfam family: Bacterial small subunit ribosomal RNA
Source: RNAcentral
GACGAACGCUGGCGGCGUGCCUAAUACAUGCAAGUCGAGCGAAGUUUUUCUGGUGCUUGCACUAGAAAAACUUAGCGGCGAACGGGUGAGUAACACGUAAAGAACCUGCCUCAUAGACUGGGACAACUAUUGGAAACGAUAGCUAAUACCGGAUAACAGUAUUUCUCGCAUGAGAGAGAUUUAAAAGUUGGUUAUGCUAACACUAUGAGAUGGCUUUGCGGUGCAUUAGCUAGUUGGUGGGGUAAAGGCCCACCAAGGCGACGAUGCAUAGCCGACCUGAGAGGGUGAUCGGCCACACUGGGACUGAGACACGGCCCAGACUCCUACGGGAGGCAGCAGUAGGGAAUCUUCCGCAAUGGGCGAAAGCCUGACGGAGCAACGCCGCGUGAGUGAAGAAGGAUUUCGGUUCGUAAAGCUCUGUUGUUAGGGAAGAAUGGAUAUGUAGUAACUAUACAUGUAAGAGACGGUACCUAACCAGAAAGCCACGGCUAACUACGUG